GCUGGCGGCGUGCUUACACAUGCAAGUCAAGGGGGCCCGCAAGGGCAACCGGCGAACGGGUGCGUAACACGUGAGCAACCUGCCUUCGAGAGGGGGAUAGCCGGCCCAACGGCCGGGUAAUACCGCAUACGCUCAUCUGCCGGCAUCGGUGGGUGAGGAAACGUUUACGGCUCGGAGAGGGGCUCGCGGCCUAUCAGCUAGUUGGUGGGGUCACGGCCUACCAAGGCGACGACGGGUAGCUGGUCUGAGAGGAUGGCCAGCCACAUUGGGACUGAGAAACGGCCCAGACUCCUACGGGAGGCAGCAGUGGGGAAUCUUGCGCAAUGGCCGAGAGGCUGACGCAGCGACGCCGCGUGGGGGAUGAAGCAUCUCGGUGUGUAAACCCCUGUUGCUCGGGACGAACGAUCCUUUUCGAGGGAUGUGACGGUACCGAGUGAGGAAGCACCGGCUAACUCCGUGCCAGCAGCCGCGGUAAUACGGAGGGUGCGAGCGUUGUCCGGAAUCACUGGGCGUAAAGGGCGCGUAGGUGGUUGGAUGCGCCGGUGGUGAAAGCGCAGGGCUCAACCCUGCGUCGGCCAUCGGGACGGUCCGACUGGAGCACUGUAGAGGCAGGUGGAAUUCCGGGUGUAGCGGUGGAAUGCGUAGAGAUCCGGAAGAACACCGGUGGCGAAAGCGGCCUGCUGGGCAGUUGCUGACACUGAAGCGCGACAGCGUGGGGAGCAAACAGGAUUAGAUACCCUGGUAGUCCACGCCGUAAACGAUGGGUACUAAGUGCUUGGGGGAGCGACCCCCUGAGUGCCGACGCUUACGCAUUAAGUACCCCGCCUGGAGAGUAC
Molecule: ribosomal RNA, 836 nt
Filed under: uncultured bacterium
Lineage: Bacteria
Description: bacterial SSU rRNA
Rfam family: Bacterial small subunit ribosomal RNA
Source: RNAcentral